ACCAGCAACUUGGAGGAAUGUAUAGGGAAAACUGGUAAAAUGUGAUGUACCUAGUAAUAUUAGAAAUCAAUAUGAGAUUAACUAAGUUAAUUAAAGUUCUAAGUAGGUGUUUGAUUAUGACAAUACCUGCAUAAGUCUUGACCAAGUCACGUGCCAGCAGUCGCGGUAACACGUGGAAGACAAGUGUUAUUCAUCUUUAUUGGGUUUAAAGGGUACCUAGACGGUUAAUUAAGCAAUUAGAUGUACUAAUUAACUAGAGUUUAAUGUAAGAAGGAUUGAGUACGGUGAGAGUAGAGAUAAAAUUCUUUGAUACCACUUAGGAACUGGUAACAGCGAAGGCUACCUUCAAUGUAAAAACUGACGUUAAGGGACGAAGGCUUGUAUUAAAUAAUAGGAUUAGAUACCCUUGUAUUUUGAGCAGAAAAUGAUGAGUGUCAUAUACAAGAUAUUUAUUUUGUGUAUAAAUGAAAGUGUAAGCACUCCACCUCAAGAGUAACGUGGCAACAUGGGAACUGAAAUCAUUAGACCGUUUCUGAAACUCGUAGUGAAGUAUGUUGUUUAAUUUGAUGGCCCUCAAAUAACCUUACCACAAUUUGAAUAACUAUUGUAAGAUAGUAACAAGCGUUGCACGGCUGUCUUCAGUCAAUGUUGUGAAACUUUGGUUAGAUCCAUUUAAUUGACGUAAACCCUUACUUUAUUUAUUAUAAAGUAGUU
RNAcentral lists this ribosomal RNA (714 nucleotides) under Ocellularia baileyi. RNAcentral's name for it is "SSU rRNA". It matches the Rfam family "Bacterial small subunit ribosomal RNA", at positions 347 to 1130 of the family's 1533-position model. Lineage: Eukaryota; Fungi; Ascomycota; Lecanoromycetes; Ostropales; Graphidaceae. The record is from RNAcentral.